Molecule: long non-coding RNA, 1000 nt
Organism: Cavia porcellus (domestic guinea pig)
Lineage: Eukaryota; Metazoa; Chordata; Mammalia; Rodentia; Caviidae
Exons: 2
Source: RefSeq, a predicted model, not a curated record
UGUGAGCUAAUAUUGAAAUUCAGCCCUCAGUGAGAUAUUUUAACGUCUAGCCUCAAGGUCUAUAAAAACUGAUGGUAGUAGUUGUCAUAAGAACCUAAUUGUUAAUAUUACCCUUAUCAAUAAAAUCAAGGUGAGUUUUUGAAAUUUCUGUAAGCUCAAUUCCUGUUUAAGAAGUAGCAAAGAACUCAAGUGCAAAAACCUAAACCAAACCAAACAAAUCCCCCAAAAAACCAACAAAACCAACAAAAAUCUUAUUUGCUAAUGUCCUCAAACUUUAAUAGUAGUCAUAUUAAUACACGAACUUCACUUUUCCUUGUUGGUUGCAAUGGAGUCACAUUGUCUUCCAGUAAUCAAGGCCAUUGCUUAUUUUGUGAAUGUCUUUUGUUCCCUCCAGUUCAUCUCAUUUGUCUUUUGUUACAGACAGCUCCCUGUUACGGGCCUUUCACCACUGCCAGGAUCCUUUGCUUUCUUUCCUCACUCUCCAGUGCAGCCUCCCAGUUGGCGGGGGAACAAUGUUAUUUAGCAAGUCCCUGCUGGCCUAGAAUAGGGGUGACCACAAGGAGUCGGGGCACAGCUUGUAAAAGGCAGCAAAUAUGCCCAGAUCUUACAAACGAAUAUUUCAGCCAAAUUUCUUAAAGUUCCAAGGGCAAUUGAAAUUCUGUUUGCAUCAGAAUUGCAUAAUUGCUUUUGAGAUGUUUAAAUGAAUGAAGAAAUGAGACUCUCCUUUUGGCCUCAGUGGCUAAAGCAACAGAAAGAGAAAGGGAAAAUCUUAAGAGAGCUCUCAUCUCUACAAAACACUGUGUUUAUCACUUUCUGUAAGCCCAGCAUGAUGGUACACUCCCAUAACCCUACAAGAGGCGGAGGCAAGAGGAUCACUGCAAGUUCAAGACAAACAUUGGCUACAAAGUGAAUCCAAGGCCAGCCUGACCUGCACAGCAAACCCUCUCUCAAAAGACAAAAAUAAAUAAAUAAAUAAAAAUAAAACUUUGUUCUUUUGAAA